GACGAACGCUGGCGGCGCGCUUAACACAUGCAAGUCGAACGGAAAGGCCUGCUUUCCCUUGUGGAUUGCGGGUACUCGAGUGGCGAACGGGUGAGUAACACGUGAGUGAUCUGCCCCCAACUUGGGUAUAAGCCUGGGAAACUGGGUCUAAUUCCCGAUAGGACUGCAGGGUGGUGCCUGUGGUGGAAAACGAUUUUCUAGUGGUUGGGGAUGAGCUCGCGGCCUAUCAGCUUGUUGGUGGGGUAAUGGCCUACCAAGGCGGCGACGGGUAGCCGGCCUGAGAGGGUGGACGGCCACAUUGGGACUGAGAUACGGCCCAGACUCCUACGGGAGGCAGCAGUGGGGAAUAGUGCAAGAUGGGCGGAAGCCUGAUGCAGCGACGCCGCGUGGGGGAUGACGGCCUUCGGGUUGUAAACUCCUUUCGACCGCGAGGAAGCCACCUGGUUGGAAGGGUGGUGACGGUAGUGGUAGAAGAAGCACCGGCUAACUACGUG
RNAcentral lists this ribosomal RNA (494 nucleotides) under uncultured bacterium. Its description in RNAcentral is "partial 16S ribosomal RNA". It matches the Rfam family "Bacterial small subunit ribosomal RNA", at positions 28 to 507 of the family's 1533-position model. The record is from RNAcentral.